AGGCAACCCGCAACCCAGAUGGAAAAGAGAGCACACAAGCUUGUGUGGGUGUAUCCGUGUAUGGAUUUUCAUUUUCAGGCCCCAGAAAGGCUUGCAGGUUUGCAGCUAGCUACCCAGCCGUUUCUUUCAUCCACAUACUACAUACUUUUUUACAUUUCCAGCACAACUUUGUAUACAAGGUGCAAGUAAAACCAUUGGCAUGUGCCCUUUGAUGAUGCUUUCAGAGAGUUUUUAUUCCUUUUAGCCGAGCUGAAAAUCCGUGGCUCAACCAGAGUCCCUGUUGGAGGAGCGCUCCCUGCCGGGUAAUCCUAUGUACAGCUCCGUCUCCACGUCCAUGUCGUCGUUGCUCGGUGGCGCCGGCAGGUUACGCGGCCAAGGAGGGAGACAGCGGUUCAGGACUGGUGGCGCCUCCGGUGGAGGCUGGAGGUUGCGCUGCUGCAGCGAUAAGAACAGCAGGUGAACUUUUACAAAAAGCAAACAACACAUGACCUGUUUAGGUUAUGUACAUACAUGAUGGCUGUGAGAUUGUCUUUCCUGCGUAUAUUCUGUGUUAAAAACUUAAUUUGCAGUUUGCAAUGUUAAAGAAAAAAAAACUCAACUCCUGAAAGUGGAGUACCCCACAGUUUUUCAGUCCAUCCCUAAACCAUUGGGAUUAGGAGGGAUCAAAGGGGAUUGAGGGGGAUUUUGACUUGCAUUCUCUGCAGUUUGCGAUGUUGUGUUGGUUCAAGGUGGUUCGUUUCAUUUACCUUAUCGCGCAAUUCUUUGUUGUCUUUGAGCAGGUUCCUCUCCUGGAAGUGGUAGAAGUAAGAAACAACAGAGGUCAGGAAUUGGUUACUAGAGUUUCAGGAUACUCUGGGCCCAUGCAUUAUGUUACCUUCUCCUUCAGCUUGGUUAUCUGCUGCUCCAGCAGUUGUGUCUGUCAAAACAAAAGUAGGAUGCAUAUCAACUUGGGCGAACAGUAUCUUUGUUAUCGUCUAUGUAGUAAUUUCAGAGGCUAGGGUUUAUGUGGG
RNAcentral lists this long non-coding RNA (1010 nucleotides) under Sorghum bicolor (sorghum). Its description in RNAcentral is "long non-coding RNA (SBIC_LNC001441)". Lineage: Eukaryota; Viridiplantae; Streptophyta; Magnoliopsida; Poales; Poaceae. The record is from RNAcentral.